UUUGAUGUUGAGAUAGUAAUU
Molecule: non-coding RNA, 21 nt
Filed under: Caenorhabditis elegans
Lineage: Eukaryota; Metazoa; Nematoda; Chromadorea; Rhabditida; Rhabditidae
Source: RNAcentral